GAUGAACGCUGGCGGCGUGCCUAAUACAUGCAAGUCGAGCGAACAGACGAGGAGCUUGCUCCUCUGACGUUAGCGGCGGACGGGUGAGUAACACGUGGAUAACCUACCUAUAAGACUGGGAUAACUUCGGGAAACCGGAGCUAAUACCGGAUAAUAUAUUGAACCGCAUGGUUCAAUAGUGAAAGACGGUUUUGCUGUCACUUAUAGAUGGAUCCGCGCCGCAUUAGCUAGUUGGUAAGGUAACGGCUUACCAAGGCGACGAUGCGUAGCCGACCUGAGAGGGUGAUCGGCCACACUGGAACUGAGGCACGGUCCAGACUCCUACGGGAAGCAGCAGUAGGGAAUCUUCCGCAAUGGGCGAAAGCCUGACGGAGCAACGCCGCGUGAGUGAUGAAGGUCUUCGGAUCGUAAAACUCUGUUAUUAGGGAAGAACAAAUGUGUAAGUAACUAUGCACGUCUUGACGGUACCUAAUCAGAAAGCCACGGCUAACUACGUG
Molecule: ribosomal RNA, 497 nt
Filed under: uncultured bacterium
Lineage: Bacteria
Description: partial 16S ribosomal RNA
Rfam family: Bacterial small subunit ribosomal RNA
Source: RNAcentral